Molecule: ribosomal RNA, 181 nt
Filed under: uncultured bacterium
Lineage: Bacteria
Description: partial 16S ribosomal RNA
Rfam family: Bacterial small subunit ribosomal RNA
Source: RNAcentral
GAAAGCCCACGGCUUAACCGUGGAGGGUCAUUGGAAACUGGUUGACUUGAGUGCAGAAGAGGGAAGUGGAAUUCCAUGUGUAGCGGUGAAAUGCGUAGAGAUAUGGAGGAACACCAGUGGCGAAGGCGGCUCUCUGGUCUGUAACUGACGCUGAGGCUCGAAAGCGUGGGGAGCAAACAGG